This 408-nucleotide ribosomal RNA is filed under the name uncultured bacterium. RNAcentral describes it as "partial 16S ribosomal RNA". It matches the Rfam family "Bacterial small subunit ribosomal RNA", at positions 28 to 526 of the family's 1533-position model. The record is from RNAcentral.
GACGAACGCUGGCGGCGUGCUUAACACAUGCAAGUCGAACGAAGUGGCGAACGGGUGAGUAACGCGUAAUCAACCUGCCCUUCAGAGGGGGACAACAGUUGGAAACGACUGCUAAUACCGCAUACUGAAGGUGGGGUUUGAGUCUGAUUAGCUAGUUGGAGGGGUAACGGCCCACCAAGGCGAUGAUCAGUAGCCGGGCUGAGAGGAUGGACGGCCACAAUGGGACUUGGACACGGGCCCGACUCCUACGGGAGGCAGCAGGUGGGAAACUUCCGCAAUGGACGAAAGUCUGACGGAGCAACGCCGGGUGAGUGAUGACGGCCUUCGGGUUGUAAAGCUCUGUUAAGCGGGACGCGGUACCGGAAUAGAAAGCCACGGCUAACUACGUGCCAGCAGCCGCGGUAAUUC